GCAUGCCGGUGAGCUGGUGGAGCUCUUGUUCGCUCUCGACGUGCAGGCGGUCCACUCCGGCGCACAGUGCCUGUUCGAGUUCGGCCGGCGUCUU
Molecule: transfer RNA, 94 nt
Filed under: Streptomyces cinerochromogenes
Lineage: Bacteria; Bacillati; Actinomycetota; Actinomycetes; Kitasatosporales; Streptomycetaceae
Description: tRNA-Glu
Source: RNAcentral